AAUCUAUAUUAUAAUAGAUGAGUUUUUUUGUCUCUCCUCAGCUUAUCCACGUGGCAAAAAUGUGGGCCCCACCUCUGUUUAGUUUUUUUAUUUAGUUUUCUGUCGAGUGGGCAUUACGUGGGUUUUGAAAUAAUUUGAUUUCUCGAGUCUGAAACGAUUAGUGUUUAUUUCCUCUUCGAGAUUGUAAUUUCACAGAGGGCUCUUCCUUAUCCAACAAAUUCAAUUUCGUAACCUGAUCUCUUCGAUUCCUCUGUGCACGUUCUCUGCCCUCAAAACUGCUUUCGAAGAAAAGGCGAACUCUGAUGGAUUCAAUCGACCACUCACUCACUAUCUGUGAUUCGUCAUUCCUGUUGCUUCUUCUUCUUCUUCUUCCUCAAAUUUAAAAGGUAGACACUUUAUCCUCUCUUAUCACACUCUUCCUCCACCGAAUGGUGGGAAGAUAAUUCAACACCUGUCCAAAAGAUCAAAGCUUUCACCUUUUUACACGAGUUAUGUUCUUCUAGCGAGUUUUGACUCUCAAAAUCUCAACCAAUUUACUGCAUUUUCUCAAGUAUACCUCUAAAAGGGUUUAGUUUUUUUUUGUUAUUAUUAAGUUUGAUGGAACUCAAAAGAAAACCGGAGACAUGAGUCGUCAUCAUCGUCUAGGUCAGCUUCACCUUCACCAGCAUCACCAUCUUCAUCUUCAUCUUCAUGGGCUUCUCAUCAAAGAUAUCCUCAGUAUUGUCCUGAAAGCUAUACCUAUCCUCCUCCAGCUUCCUAUGCUCCUCCACCUCCCGAGUAUACACACCCUCCUACUACACCUUCAGCCUUACUCUCUCAGCCGCCUUCUCAAAGCCAUGGCAAUGAUAAGAGGAGGUUGGAGCGCAAGUAAAAAAUCUUUGAUGAGUACUCCUCUUUGGAGCAAGUGAGCUAGCAAAGAGGAAAAAACAGUUUUAAAUUUCAUCAUGUUCCUCCGUCGCUAACGUAACUUUUGACUCGCAGGUGUUUUGGAGGAAAUACGGUAUGUGCGAUCUCAGGAACAAUGCAGCAACCAUCAGAGUUUUGGUUCGCCUCUUAAUCGAAUUGUUAGCUUUUCCCUGUGAAAUGAUUCGAGUCUACUGAUGGGUUUAAAAAACCGUGCUAAGGUUUCACCUCGAGGAGGUGAAGCAAGGCGAAUUCAAGUAAGCGUUGCUUCAACGCCGCCUUGGAAGCCUCAACUAAAGGCUACGCCUUAGGUUGGUGACAAAACUUACCAAGCAAGAAGCUGCUGUCUUGCCCUCGAGGAGAUUCUUUCUUCUCUAGGCAGAUACAUUACUAAUUUCGUUCGCAUUUCACUGGAAGGUAUUAUAACUUCCUAAUACUGCUGACUGCAAACGGUGGAGAGGAGAAUCUCCCAAACCGCCUUGAAGAGCUAACUGAGAAAGAGUUUGUGUUCCAGAUCCAUGUCACACCUUUCAACUUCACACCCAACCAGCUACCUUCACAGUUUCCACCAUCACUGAAGAUACCAUCUCAAGGACCCAUGGCAAGGAGCACGGUGAUAACACUCUUUCAAGCAAUGAUGGUGACGUAGGAUUGGAAGCAUCACCUUCGGGCCCGUCUGUUUUGGGAGACAAGGUCAGUGAGGAAUGUGCUACAGCAGAUCCUCCAGAGAUUUCAGACGCUCAGAACAACCGCAAGCACCGUCGUGAGUGAUUUGAACUAUCUAUUCCUAUCAGUCCAUCAACCGUCUUUUCUAUGCGUCUAAGAAAACUACUACUAUCUUUGUUUCCCAUUUUUCCCUUUCAUGUUUUCUUCUUUUUGGAUAUUUACUUUCUGUUUGGAUUAUUAAUUAAAUGUUGACGAAUUCUAAUUUGCCAGUGGUGUAUUGUUUUACUUUCAUAAUUUUAUAUCUACUUCCUAGACCA
This is a long non-coding RNA of Brassica napus (rape), 1886 nucleotides long. RefSeq lists it as uncharacterized. The transcript is spliced from 4 exons. NCBI's taxonomy places the organism in Eukaryota, Viridiplantae, Streptophyta, Magnoliopsida, Brassicales, Brassicaceae. The record is from RefSeq and is a predicted model, not a curated record.